GUGGGUAGGAGGCCCUGCAGUGUUCUGAAAAGUGAUACCGCUGGCCAUGAAUCCAUCACCAAGAACACCAACUGUGGGUGAAGUAUAAGUGGUCACUCCUCCUUUACCGGAAACCAACGAUCCUGUAAUUACCGUUUUGCCUAUCCCAUCUCCUAAAAAGACAACAUUCUUCUUCGUUAACGGAAUCCUAACAGUUUCCUCGUAAACGCCUGCCGUUAUAUGCACCACAAACUUUUUGC
This 239-nucleotide unclassified non-coding RNA is filed under the name Hevea brasiliensis (rubber tree). Lineage: Eukaryota; Viridiplantae; Streptophyta; Magnoliopsida; Malpighiales; Euphorbiaceae. The record is from RNAcentral.